This is a non-coding RNA of Merluccius polli (Benguela hake), 75 nucleotides long. The record is from the annotation of a GenBank genome assembly. Lineage: Eukaryota; Metazoa; Chordata; Actinopteri; Gadiformes; Merlucciidae.
GGCCGGUUAGCUCAGUUGAUUAGAGCGUGGUGCUAAUAACACCAAGGUCACGUGUUCAGCCCCCCGUACUGGCCA